This 238-nucleotide ribosomal RNA is filed under the name Loma lingcodae. Its description in RNAcentral is "partial large subunit ribosomal RNA". The stretch from base 93 to 238 matches the Rfam family "Eukaryotic large subunit ribosomal RNA", at positions 1 to 150 of the family's 3401-position model. Lineage: Eukaryota; Fungi; Microsporidia; Glugeidae. The record is from RNAcentral.
CUCUGCGCAAGGGAUCUUUUGGUUCGCUAGACGAAGAAGGGCGCAGCGGAAUGCGAAAUGUGCAGGAGUCGCAGCGAAGAUAGCACAUGCCUGAAAUCACGAGAGUGUGAGACUACCCCUUUGAGUUAAGCAUAUGAGUAAAGGGAGGAAAAGAAACUAACAAGGAUUCCUUAGUAGCGGCGAGCGAAGAAGGAACAGCCCCGAGUGUAAUCACAAAUAUGUGAGAUGUCAUUAAUCU